This 1194-nucleotide long non-coding RNA is filed under the name Homo sapiens (human). RNAcentral's name for it is "HSALNT0131911". The record is from RNAcentral. Lineage: Eukaryota; Metazoa; Chordata; Mammalia; Primates; Hominidae.
GGCCUCCGCAGGGAGAGGAAACUAAUGAAGACAACGGGGAGAUGGAGGAAGGAACCAGAGAUGUUCAAAGACUAGAUCGUGGGUCAGAUGGUAAUGACUCUAACCUAAGGCAGGGAUGAUGGCAGAAAGAUGCCUUCACAGGACAAACUGAGCCUAGCGCUCAACACCCCCACCUGGGGAAAGUGACACCUGCAUGGGAACUUAUCCAUGGGUACCACCAGACCCAAAGGACCUCUAUCUUCAAGUAAACCCUACGCUCCCCAAGCAGACAGUGUCAUUUCGGUGAAUGUCCUAACAGCAAAACAAAUUUCUUCUCCGGGGAAUGGUCUUCACAAAUUAUUGCCCAGAGAGUGAAUAAUUCUUCUCUAGUCAGUGGCUAACAGGGAAAUUAUCUAUGUGCCUCUGGACUUGUUCUUGUAUCACAGUGAAUAAACUGGUCCAACCCAAACUGACACAUCCACAAACUCCCUUUGUGAUCCUAGGUAAGAUUUUAGAUGGCAUUUGUCAAUGUAAAAAAUAAAAAUAAAGAACAUAAUGUAAUCAAGUUGCUUUCACACACAACCUAGUUGGUUUUGGCCAAUUAGGAUAUUGGUAGGCUCCUUCAUUGAGCCCAGACCAGAGUACCAUCAGUCCCAGGACUCUAAAAGCCAUCUGUCUUAGUCCCUUUUGUGUUGCUAUAACACAGUAUCUGAGGCAGGGUAAUCUGCAAAGAGAAGAGGUAUUUAAUUCAUGAUUCUAGUGUCUGCGAAGUCCAAGAGCAUGGUGCCCAUGGCUUCUGGUGGGAGCCUUGUGCUGUCUCACAACAUGGUAGAGAAGUAGGAGGGGAAGUGGGCCUUGUGAAAGAGAAGCCAAACAGGAGAGGUGGCCUCACUUUAUAAAAUCCACCUUCUUGGAAAGCAACCCAUUCCCAGGAGAACUCACUCCUGAGAGAUGGCAUUUAAUCUCUCCAUGAGGGUCCCUCGUGGACCAAACACCUCCCACCACUCAACACCAUUACACUGGGGACCAAGCCUCAGUGAGUUUUGGUGAGGACCAACCAUACCAAACCAUAGCACCACUGGAACAACAAGAUUGAGAAUGGCUAUCACAACAUGGAAAUCCUAACCCAUUUUCCUAGAAAUAUACUCUCUCAUUCAUCCCAAUAGCUCUGCAGUCCCCACAACCUCUACUUAUCGUCCUCUGACCCACAACCCC